GUAACACCGAAACCUAUCCGCGAAAAUAAUGCGGGGAAAGAGUUGUGCUAGCUUCUCUUGCCCGUGACAUGGGACGCCAUCCGCUCAUAGUGUCCACGUAAAAGCUAUACAUGGUGGAGGAAUAAAACCCAGAUUUGUGACAACGUUGCUCCUCUGCUUUUGGACUCCCCUGUAACCCUAACACUUUUCGAUCUCAGCAGCAUAAUGAGAGAAUAUCAAAUGGAAGCCGAUCUAAUACACCAUGAUUCAGAUAUCCUGCCCCAGGCACAAAUCACAAAUUUCGAUUUGAUAUUAGUCAGAUACAGUCAUGCAUCCUUUCCCGACUCUAACCAAUGACGAACAACCAAGAGCAAAUUUUUAAACGAGGUGGGAUAUCUCUCUUCCCUCGACGGCGCCCAUUCCCUCCCGCAAAAAGUCCAAUCCCGUCCCAUGUGUAACACUUCUAGUCGACCUCAGCACGCCUGCCACCCCUGGGGAAAUACCCCAUCACAGCUAACGUCCUCCCCAUUCCACACCCCACUUAUCAAGUAGACCAUCCCCUCAAUUCCCGAACCACCCCCGGAUACCCGCAACCAUUUGCGACGCCGCGGGCAACGCUACCACACCGGCUCCCAUAGCGCCAAUAGCGGGAACAACAUUCGCCGCAACACCACCCAUCGCAAUGCUCUGGCACGUUGCAAAUAGAGUCCCGGCCUCCACCGACCCAAGACUAGAUUGCCAUAUCGUGGCAAACGUGCCAGCAGCAGGGCCGAUGGGGGUAAACCCAACCAGCCCGAGAAAAGGAGAUACUGUAAUUGACGUGACGAUUAUAGCCGCACCCGUCGCGCAUUGACGGCCGUUUUCCUUCAGGUAGUCGCCUGAGGUAUCAAGGAACUUGACGGCGAGGGUUUUGGGGUUCCAUUUUGCCUGCAAUGUUUGUAAGAGUGAGAGUGAUUGUUUCAACGUCCGGUAGCUGCAUUUCGGACUUCAAAGUAUUUUGGUUUAUUGUAUUUCGCAAAGCUUUCAGUGGCCGGUGUAGCGGAGUGGAGAUGAGAAUGGAAACCUUUCAUAUGUAUACUAGUAUUGAAGGGUUGGAUGUGGUAGG
RNAcentral lists this small RNA (1084 nucleotides) under Histoplasma capsulatum var. duboisii H88. RNAcentral's name for it is "Histoplasma capsulatum H88 hypothetical RNA". The record is from RNAcentral. Lineage: Eukaryota; Fungi; Ascomycota; Eurotiomycetes; Onygenales; Ajellomycetaceae.